This 1749-nucleotide ribosomal RNA is filed under the name Triticum aestivum (bread wheat). RNAcentral describes it as "partial small subunit ribosomal RNA". The record is from RNAcentral. Lineage: Eukaryota; Viridiplantae; Streptophyta; Magnoliopsida; Poales; Poaceae.
AUGGGCUCCGCCGCGCCGGAAUCCACCGCCGCCUCCUCCUCCUCUUCGGCGGGGUCUGCAGCCAGCGCCGCGGCCCUGCCCGCGCCCGAGACCACCGAGGUCGGCGCCUCCUCCUCGACGGGUCUCGCCACCUCCGUGGCCCCGCUCGCCGCCUCCUGCUCCUCCGCGCUCGAGCCUACCGCCUGCGCGACGCUGUUCGCCGGUUCGACCUCUUUCUCCGCGGCCGCGCUCGACUCUACCAUCUGCACGGCGGUCUUCGCCGGUUCCGCCUCCUCCGCCGCGACCGCGCUCGACUCUACCGCCUGCACGACGCUCGUCGCCGGCUCCUCCGCCACGACCACGGCUUCAUCCUCGGCGACGGCGCCGGCCACGCCCAACGCCGCCUUGCUCCGGUUUAUUCCGCCUGGCUCAGCAUUUGGGCAUGUGCCGGACCCCUAUGCCAUGUGCCCAGCUGACACGGUGUUCCCAGCGCUCCUGAGCUGCCCUGUGGCGCCUUCGCUGCAGGCACAGCUUCCCGACAAAGAUGCACCGGUGGACACGAGCCCGGUGUACGUCAAGGGGGAUCCGUUUGCCAAGACGAUGUACCAGGAUAGUGAAGUCGGGCCCAGGAAGCGGAGCCGUGAUGAGGAGGAUAUUAUACCUGUGGCAGAGCUCAACGAGGUCAUCAAGAACGUGGCGGAAACUGUUUUUGACGAGCAGCAUAGGAGUUUUGAGUACAUGGACAGGGACUGGCUUACAAAGGGUGAGUAUGAAACGUUGGAGUUCAGAAAGAAGGCUCACCCACCUCAGUUCUACGAAGUCAAGAAAUCAAAGCAUGGCGGACUUAAGCUCGGACCCCGACCUGGUAAAGCAACCAAACCGAGGAUUGGGAUCAAUGGUUUGGGGCGGAUCGGGAGACUUGUGGCCAGGCUUAUUUUACGCAGCAAGAACAUGGAACUAGUCGUCGUUAACGACCCUUUUCUGAGCGCAGAUGACAUUGCUAGAUCUCUAGAGGACAUGCCUCCUGAUUUAUUCCCUCCCACCAAAGUUCUAUCUAUUUCUGAGCCUGAAAAAAUACCCUGGGGCAAUCUCGGCGCAGACUACGUUGUGGAGAGCACUGGAAUAUUCACUGACACGGAUACUGCCAGCUCUCACUUGAUGGGUGGUGCCAAGAAGGUUAUCAUCUGUGCUCUGAGCAAUGAAGCUCCCACAUUUGUUUACGGUGUCAACGGAAAUAUUUACACGCCAGAUAUUAGCAUCAUCUCAAUAGCUGAUACCGCUACAAUUUGUCUUGCUCUGCUCGCCAAGAUCCUCCACACCAAAUUUGGCAUCAGAGAGUGCCAGGUGACUAUAACCGGACCAUCCUCUAGUGCUGCAGAAAUUGGCAGGGCACUCAGUUCCGCUAUUCCUGAUUUAGUCGACAGGUUCCAUGUGACGGUGAGCCAUGAUCCUCAGGUGAAACUGUCUUGUGUGGAACUGGCCGUUAGGCUUGACGAGUGUGCUGACUAUGAGAUGAUCAAGGAUUCUGUCAGGAAGGAGUCUUCUUCAGAGGAACUUCACUAUGUACUAGCUAACCUGGAGGGAGGAGUGGGUCUCAAGGCCACAGAUUAUUUAGGAGAUUGCAGGUCGUGCUUGUUUGAUGCGGAUGCUGGAGCUAUGCUGGGGGACGGUUCCUUCAAGCUCUUCGCAUGGUUCAACCACCAGCGCAGCUACGGCCAGCGCUGCACUGACAUGAUUCUACACAUGGCGAAGAAGUCUAGAGUUGAUUGA